UUAAUACUCCCUCCGUCCCUA
This 21-nucleotide microRNA is filed under the name Corchorus olitorius. RNAcentral describes it as "ssp-miR11". The record is from RNAcentral. Lineage: Eukaryota; Viridiplantae; Streptophyta; Magnoliopsida; Malvales; Malvaceae.